This 475-nucleotide ribosomal RNA is filed under the name uncultured bacterium. Its description in RNAcentral is "bacterial SSU rRNA". It matches the Rfam family "Bacterial small subunit ribosomal RNA", at positions 32 to 479 of the family's 1533-position model. The record is from RNAcentral.
AGUCAACGCUGGCGGCGUGCCUAACACAUGCAAGUCGAACGAGAAGGUGACUUCGGUCACUGGAUAGUGGCGUCCGGGUGAGUAACACGUAGGUAAUCUACCUUCGGGUGGGGAAUAACGUCUCGAAAGAGACGCUAAUACCGCAUAAUGCAGCGGCACCUAAUGGUGAUUAGUUGUUAAAGCGGGGGAUCUUCGGACCUCGCGCCUGAAGAGGAGCCUGCGGCAGAUUAGCUAGUUGGUGAGGUAAUGGCUCACCAAGGCUUCGAUCUGUAGCUGGUCUGAGAGGACGGCCAGCCACACUGGCACUGACACACGGGCCAGACUCCUACGGGAGGCAGCAGUGGGGAAUUUUGGGCAAUGGGCGAAAGCCUGACCCAGCAACGCCGCGUGAAGGAGGAAAAUCCUUCGGGAUGUAAAACUUCACAAGCAAGGGAAGAGCGCGCAGGGUCGAAUAAACUCUGCGUCCGACGGUACC